GCCGGAAUGGCGGAAUUGGUAUACGCACACGACUCAAAAUCGUGCGCCUCACGGCUUGUGGGUUCGAGUCCCACUUCCGGCA
RNAcentral lists this transfer RNA (82 nucleotides) under Minisyncoccota bacterium. Its description in RNAcentral is "tRNA-Leu". It matches the Rfam family "tRNA". From Rfam's summary of the family: Transfer RNA (tRNA) molecules are approximately 80 nucleotides in length. Their secondary structure includes four short double-helical elements and three loops (D, anti-codon, and T loops). The record is from RNAcentral. Lineage: Bacteria; Bacillati; Minisyncoccota.